RNAcentral lists this unclassified non-coding RNA (86 nucleotides) under Arenibacter nanhaiticus. RNAcentral's name for it is "Flavo-1 RNA". Lineage: Bacteria; Pseudomonadati; Bacteroidota; Flavobacteriia; Flavobacteriales; Flavobacteriaceae. The record is from RNAcentral.
UGCUAGAACGGUCCUAUUACAGCGGCAUCCUUUUUUAGAGGGCCGUGGGGCCUUUAAAAAAGAUACAGCGGCAAGAGCGACCCGAU